CAGUCACCGCGGUAAUACGUAGGUGGCAGGCGUUGUCCGGAAUUAUUGGGCGUAAAGGGCUCGCAGGCGGUUUCUUAAGUCUGAUGUGAAAGCCCCCGGCUCAACCGGGGAGGGUCAUUGGAAACUGGGAAACUUGAGUGCAGAAGAGGAGAGUGGAAUUCCAUGUGUAGCGGUGAAAUGCGUAGAGAUGUGGAGGAACACCAGUGGCGAAGGCGACUCUCUGGUCUGUAACUGACGCUGAGGAGCGAAAGCGUGGGGAGCGAACAGGAUUAGAUACCCGUGUAGUCCCUGUCUCUUAUAC
RNAcentral lists this ribosomal RNA (301 nucleotides) under uncultured bacterium. Its description in RNAcentral is "partial 16S ribosomal RNA". It matches the Rfam family "Bacterial small subunit ribosomal RNA", at positions 509 to 807 of the family's 1533-position model. The record is from RNAcentral.